This 460-nucleotide ribosomal RNA is filed under the name uncultured bacterium. RNAcentral describes it as "partial 16S ribosomal RNA". It matches the Rfam family "Bacterial small subunit ribosomal RNA", at positions 338 to 795 of the family's 1533-position model. The record is from RNAcentral.
CCUACGGGAGGCAGCAGUGAGGAAUAUUGGUCAAUGGCCGGAAGGCUGAACCAGCCAUGCCGCGUGAAGGUCAGUGCCCUAUGGGCGUUAAACUUCUUUUGUGCGGGAGCAAUAAUGGUCACGUGUGGCCAGACGAGAGUACCGUACGAAUAAGCAUCGGCUAACACCGUGCCAGCAGCCGCGGUAAUACGGGGGAUGCAAGCGUUAUCCGGAUUUAUUGGGUUGAAAGGGUGCGUAGUGUGUGUGGUAAGUCAGCGGUGAAAUGCCCCCGCUCAACGGGGUGAAGUGCCAUUGAUACUGCCUUGCUGGAAUGCGGAUGCCGUAGGAGGAAUGUGUGGUGUAGCGGUGAAAUGCAUAGAUAUCACACAGAACACCGAUUGCGAAGGCAGCUCACGAAUCCGCGAUUGACGCUGAUGCACGAAAGCGUGGGUAUCAAACAGGAUUAGAUACCCCGGUAGUC